Molecule: ribosomal RNA, 253 nt
Filed under: uncultured bacterium
Lineage: Bacteria
Description: partial 16S ribosomal RNA
Rfam family: Bacterial small subunit ribosomal RNA
Source: RNAcentral
UACGUAGGGGGCAAGCGUUGUCCGGAAUCAUUGGGCGUAAAGCGCGCGUAGGCGGCCAGAAAAGUCCGCUGUGAAAACUCGAGGCUCAACUUCGAGCUGUCGGUGGAAACUUUCUGGCUAGAGUCCGGAAGAGGAGAAUGGAAUUCCUGGUGUAGCGGUGAAAUGCGCAGAUAUCAGGAGGAACACCGGUGGCGAAGGCGGAUCUCUGGGCCUUACCUGACGCUGAGGCGCGAAAGCUAGGGGAGCGAACAGG